AGAGUUUGAUCCUGGCUCAGAACGAACGCUGGCGGCAGGCCUAACACAUGCAAGUCGAGGGGGAAGCCACUUUCGGGUGGUGGAGACCGGCGCACGGGUGAGUAACGCGUGGGAAUUUACCCAGGAGUGGGGGAUAACCGCUGGAAACGGCGGCUAAUACCGCAUACGCCCUUAGGGGGAAAGCUUUAGCGCUUUUGGAUGAGCCCGCGUUAGAUUAGGUAGUUGGUGGGGUAAAGGCCUACCAAGCCUGCGAUCUAUAGCUGGUCUGAGAGGAUGAUCAGCCACACUGGGACUGAGACACGGCCCAGACUCCUACGGGAGGCAGCAGUGGGGAAUAUUGGACAAUGGGGGCAACCCUGAUCCAGCCAUGCCGCGUGCGUGAAGAAGGCCUUAGGGUUGUAAAGCGCUUUCACUGGUGAAGAUGAUGACGGUAGCCAGAGAAGAAGCCCCGGCUAACUCCGUGCCAGCAGCCGCGGUAAUACGGAGGGGGCAAGCGUUGUUCGGAAUUACUGGGCGUAAAGGGCGCGUAGGCGGGGUGUCAAGUUAGGGGUGAAAGGCCUGGGCUCAACCUGGGAACUGCCUCUAAAACUGUCACUCUAGAGUCCGGGAGAGGAUGGCGGAAUUCC
Molecule: ribosomal RNA, 626 nt
Filed under: uncultured Alphaproteobacteria bacterium
Lineage: Bacteria; Pseudomonadati; Pseudomonadota; Alphaproteobacteria
Description: bacterial SSU rRNA
Rfam family: Bacterial small subunit ribosomal RNA
Source: RNAcentral